GACGAAGAACGUAGCAAAAUGCGAUAAGUAAUGUGAAUUGCAGAAUUCAGUGAAUCAUCGAAUCUUUGAACGCACAUUGCGCCCGCUGGUAUUCCGGCGGGCAUGCCUGUUCGAGCGUCAUUUCAACCCUCAAGCCCCCGGGUUUGGUGUUGGGGAUCGGCUCUGCCCUUCUGGGCGGUGCCGCCCCCGAAAUACAUUGGCGGUCUCGCUGCAGCCUCCAUUGCGUAGUAGCUAACACCUCGCAACUGGAACGCGGCGCGGCCAUGCCGUAAAACCCCAACUUCUGAAUGUUGACCUCGGAUCAGGUAGGAAUACCCGCUGAACUUAAGCAUAUCAAUAAGCGGAGGA
RNAcentral lists this unclassified non-coding RNA (348 nucleotides) under soil metagenome. RNAcentral describes it as "partial contains 5.8S ribosomal RNA, internal transcribed spacer 2, and large subunit ribosomal RNA". The stretch from base 1 to 120 matches the Rfam family "5.8S ribosomal RNA", at positions 35 to 154 of the family's 154-position model. The record is from RNAcentral.